UUCUUUUAAGGGCAAACUUACUUAAAGGUGAGGACGCAAAAUCACAGGUCUAAGGUUCCUUCAGAACUAUGACGGCUGGAUUGAACAA
RNAcentral lists this non-coding RNA (88 nucleotides) under Desulfosporosinus sp. RNAcentral's name for it is "c-di-GMP sequence". It matches the Rfam family "c-di-GMP-I riboswitch aptamer". Rfam says of the family: GEMM was predicted in a large-scale screen for bacterial structured RNA regulatory elements. Genes associated with GEMM are involved in a diverse array of functions, including chemotaxis regulation, signal transduction, secretion and chitin. The record is from RNAcentral. Lineage: Bacteria; Bacillati; Bacillota; Clostridia; Eubacteriales; Desulfitobacteriaceae.